Molecule: ribosomal RNA, 496 nt
Filed under: uncultured bacterium
Lineage: Bacteria
Description: partial 16S ribosomal RNA
Rfam family: Bacterial small subunit ribosomal RNA
Source: RNAcentral
AUGAACGCUGGCGGCGUGCCUAAUACAUGCAAGUCGAGCGGACGGAUGAGAAGAUUGUUUUUCGGAUGUUAGCGGCGGACGGGUGAGUAACUCGUGGAUAAGCAACCUAUAUGACAGGGAUAACUACGGGAAACCGGAGCUAAUACCGGAUAAUAUUUUGACCCGCAUGGUUCAAAAGUGAAAGACGGUCUUGCUGUCACUUAUAGAUGGAUCCGGCCUGCAUUAGCUAGUUGGUAAGGUAACCGCUUACCAACGCAACGAUGCAUAGCCGACCUGAGAGGGUGGUCGGCCACACUGGAACUGAGACACGGUCCAGACCCCAACGGUAGGCAGCGGUGGAGAAUCGUACGCAAGGGACGAGAGGCGAACGGAGCCAAGCCGCGUGAGGGAUGAAGGUAUUCGGAUCGGGAAAGUAUGUUAUUUGGGAAGAACAAAUGUGUAAGUAACUGGGCACAUCUUGACGGUACCUGAUGAAAAAGCCACGGCUAACUACGUG